RNAcentral lists this long non-coding RNA (900 nucleotides) under Homo sapiens (human). Its description in RNAcentral is "non-protein coding lnc-HBS1L-1:1". The record is from RNAcentral. Lineage: Eukaryota; Metazoa; Chordata; Mammalia; Primates; Hominidae.
UUUUUUUUUUUUUUUUUGGUCACAUACCUGAAAGCUGACUUUACUUAUAAAUGAGUGUUUGAACUCUCUGGAGAACUACUUCCUUGGUUUUUCAUGGGAGCAAAUAUAUUGUCCUGAUAGACAAUAUAUGUUCAGGACAGGCAUAGAUAUUCCUGUUCAGAACAGGCAUAUUCUCUCCCCAUUCAGGAAGUUGGUGGGUUUUCAGCAUGUGAAUAUUGACUGUGUUGUCUUUUCUCAUUUUUUACUUACUACUUGUUUUUCCUCUUCUUCCACAGCAAUCAAUCAAUAAGAACAAGUCCCAGGACUUCAGACUAGGCUCAGAAUCUAUGACACAUUCUGAAAUGAGAAAAGAACAGAGCCAUGAGGACCAAGGACACAUAAUGGAUACACGGAUGAGGAAGAACAAGCAAGCAGGCAGAAAAGUCACUCUAAUAGAGUAAAGAAUUGAAGAAAAGUUAAGAGCUGCCGAAAUGCACAGAGGUGAAAAUGACAAACCAAAUGGAAUUUCUCUUCAGAGUUCAGAAUUUUCAGAUACUAAGGAGGAAGAAAGGAUCCACUACUUCUUGUUCUUAUGAAUGACUCUAGAAAAAUCAGAAUCAAGUUGUGGGUGGAAAAAUCAACGUGGCCUUUGAGUUCAGUUGUUAUAAACCAUUGUGACUAUUGUUGGUCAAAGUAUUGGUACUUAUAUUGUUAGUAAUUGCAUCAUAAUUACAUUACCAGUGUUGGAAAACUAAUGAAGAAAACACUGUAAUUGCUACUCAGCAAAUGUGAAUAAAAGGUGUUUGCGUUAUUAGGAUGUCUGUUAAGUAAUCAUUUAAUAUUAUUAUAUUGGUAAUGGUUGUAUGUGUGAUGCUAUGCCCAGAAUAUGAAGUAUCUGUUUUUGAAAUUCACUUUAUUUAA